GAUGAACGCUAGCUACAGGCUUAACACAUGCAAGUCGAGGGGAAACGACAUCGAAAGCUUGCUUUUGAUGGGCGUCGACCGGCGCACGGGUGAGUAACGCGUAUCCAACCUGCCCAUCACUUGGGAAUAACCUUGCGAAAGUAAGACUAAUACCCAAUGAUAUCCAACGAAGGCAUCGGAAUGGGAUUAAAGAUUUAUCGGUGAUGGAUGGGGAUGCGUCUGAUUAGCUUGUUGGCGGGGUAACGGCCCACCAAGGCAACGAUCAGUAGGGGUUCUGAGAGGAAGGUCCCCCACAUUGGAACUGAGACACGGUCCAAACUCCUACGGGAGGCAGCAGUGAGGAAUAUUGGUCAAUGGGCGAGAGCCUGAACCAGCCAAGUAGCGUGCAGGAAGACGGCCCUAUGGGUUGUAAACUGCUUUUAUAAGGGAAUAAAGUGGGUCACGUGUGACUUUUUGCAUGUACCUUAUGAAUAAGGACCGGCUAAUUCCGUG
RNAcentral lists this ribosomal RNA (492 nucleotides) under uncultured bacterium. RNAcentral's name for it is "partial 16S ribosomal RNA". It matches the Rfam family "Bacterial small subunit ribosomal RNA", at positions 28 to 507 of the family's 1533-position model. The record is from RNAcentral.